Arachis ipaensis is the source of this 192-nucleotide non-coding RNA. NCBI's taxonomy places the organism in Eukaryota, Viridiplantae, Streptophyta, Magnoliopsida, Fabales, Fabaceae. The record is from RefSeq and is a predicted model, not a curated record.
AGCUCCGAUUGAUGAGCUGUUUGUGGCCAUGCGUUCAUCUUAGAGUCCUCUUCAAUUCUAUCCAAACAAAAAUGUGUAAUCUAACAUUGGAUAAUUGUUGGAUUAUACUCCAAUCAUCAAUGGGUAAGGUGGUGUGUUUGUAAGUGGAAUUUGAUGUUGUGGACAUUGGAGGCCUUGGAUUGGUGUCAAGUC